RNAcentral lists this ribosomal RNA (254 nucleotides) under uncultured bacterium. RNAcentral's name for it is "partial 16S ribosomal RNA". It matches the Rfam family "Bacterial small subunit ribosomal RNA", at positions 524 to 776 of the family's 1533-position model. The record is from RNAcentral.
UACGGGGGGAGCAAGCGUUGUUCGGAUUUACUGGGCGUAAAGGGCGCGUAGGCGGCCACGACAAGUCACUUGUGAAAUCUCCGGGCUUAACUCGGAACGGUCAAGUGAUACUGUCGGGCUAGAGUGCAGAAGGGGCAACUGGAAUUCUCGGUGUAGCGGUGAAAUGCGUAGAUAUCGAGAGGAACACCUGCGGCGAAGGCGGGUUGCUGGGCUGAUACUGACGCUGAGGCGCGAAAGCCAGGGGAGCGAACGGG